This 403-nucleotide ribosomal RNA is filed under the name uncultured bacterium. RNAcentral describes it as "partial 16S ribosomal RNA". It matches the Rfam family "Bacterial small subunit ribosomal RNA", at positions 28 to 526 of the family's 1533-position model. The record is from RNAcentral.
GACGAACGCUGGCGGCGUGCCUAAUACAUGCAAGUCGAACGCAGUGGGGACGGGUGAGUAACACGUGGGUAACCUCCCAUCAGAGGGGAUAACACUUGGAAACAGGUGCUAAACCGAUACUGAUGGAUGGACCCGCGGUGCAUUAGCUAGUUGGUGAGGUAACGGAUCACCAAGGCCACGAUGCAUAGCCGACCUGAGGGGGAGAGCGGGCAGACUGGGACUGAGGCCCGGCCCAUACUCCUGAGGGGGGCAGCAGUAGGGAAUCUUCGGCAAUGGACGAAAGUCGGACCGAGCAACGCCGCGUGAGUGAAGAAGGUUUUCGGAUCGUAAAACGCUGUUGUUUGACGAGCGGUAUCUAACCAGAAAGCCACGGCUAACUACGUGCCAGCAGCCGCGGUAAUAC